AUUGAACGCUGGCGGCAUGCUUUACACAUGCAAGUCGAACGGUAACAGGCCGCCAGGUGCUGACGAGUGGCGAACGGGUGAGUAAUGCAUCGGAACGUGCCCAGUCGUGGGGGAUAACUACUCGAAAGAGUAGCUAAUACCGCAUACGAUCUAUGGAUGAAAGCGGGGGUCCGUAAGGCCUCGCGCGAUUGGAGCGGCCGAUGUCAGAUUAGGUAGUUGGUGGGGUAAAGGCUCACCAAGCCAACGAUCUGUAGCUGGUCUGAGAGGACGACCAGCCACACUGGGACUGAGACACGGCCCAGACUCCUACGGGAGGCAGCAGUGGGGAAUUUUGGACAAUGGGCGCAAGCCUGAUCCAGCAAUGCCGCGUGCAGGAAGAAGGCCUUCGGGUUGUAAACUGCUUUUGUACGGAACGAAACGGCUCUGGUUAAUACCCGGGGCUAAUGACGGCACCGUAAGAAUAAGCACCGGCUAACUACGUG
Molecule: ribosomal RNA, 482 nt
Filed under: uncultured bacterium
Lineage: Bacteria
Description: partial 16S ribosomal RNA
Rfam family: Bacterial small subunit ribosomal RNA
Source: RNAcentral